Molecule: transfer RNA, 65 nt
Filed under: Tetratoma fungorum
Lineage: Eukaryota; Metazoa; Arthropoda; Insecta; Coleoptera; Tetratomidae
Description: tRNA-Asp
Source: RNAcentral
AAGAAUUUAGUUAAUUUAUAACAUUAACUUGUCAAGUUAAAAUAAAUAUUAAAUAUUAAUUUUUA